AUGAAGGCGUCGCUGAAGCUCCGGGACGACGCGGGGCCGCUGCUCCGCGCGAAGCUCCCCGUCGAGCUCUUCUCCGUGCCCGCCGUCGCCUCGCUCACCGCCGGCGAUCCGGCCGACCUCCGCCUCUCCCUCGCCACGGCCGUCCCGGCGCUCCCGUCCCUACGCCUCUCCUACGCGCCCAACCGCCCCGCGGGCUCCUCCCCGCUCUCCGCCUCGCUCGUCCUCGGCUACGGCCCCGGCGGCUGCCCCUCCGCGCCCGGCGCCUCCGCCAUCACCAUGGUCGUCGAGGUCAGCGCCGCGGGCGCGCUCUCCUUCUCGCUGGCCCUCAAGCCCUCGCUCGGCGACUUCGCCGUGCGCAAGCGGUUCUAUUCGGACGGCGCGGGAGGCGGGAUGUCGGCGUCGGAGGUGGCGAUGAGGAGCGUCGUGCCUGUGCGCGGCGGCGCGGCGGCGGCGAGGGUCCGGUGGGGCGUGAGGAUACCCGCCGAGAUGACCGCCGGCGUGGAGGCCGGUGCCGCCGGGGUGAUGCUGCGGAGGCUGCCUUUCUUGGUUCUCGGCAAGGUCACGGUGGAGAGGCGGGCGGGGAAGCCGGCGCCGGAGGUUGCGCAGCAAGAGGAGGCGGCGGUGGAGAAGGUGAGGAGAGAGAACGAGAAGCUGAGGCGGGAGAUGGAGGAGCUCCGGGCGACAGCGGGGCAGAGGAGAGAGAAGGAGACGGUGGCGUUGGCCGGUGCCGGCCGGAGCGGUGGCGGAAGGUCGCCGGGGAUGAGUACGAAACGGGACGGCGUUGAUGUAGGGCCGCAAGUGAAUCCUGCGAGCUAG
RNAcentral lists this ribosomal RNA (816 nucleotides) under Triticum aestivum (bread wheat). Its description in RNAcentral is "partial small subunit ribosomal RNA". Lineage: Eukaryota; Viridiplantae; Streptophyta; Magnoliopsida; Poales; Poaceae. The record is from RNAcentral.